RNAcentral lists this ribosomal RNA (704 nucleotides) under Klebsiella pneumoniae subsp. ozaenae. RNAcentral describes it as "bacterial SSU rRNA". It matches the Rfam family "Bacterial small subunit ribosomal RNA", at positions 54 to 749 of the family's 1533-position model. The record is from RNAcentral. Lineage: Bacteria; Pseudomonadati; Pseudomonadota; Gammaproteobacteria; Enterobacterales; Enterobacteriaceae.
CAUGCAAGUCGAGCGGUAGCACAGAGAGCUUGCUCUCGGGUGACGAGCGGCGGACGGGUGAGUAAUGUCUGGGAAACUGCCUGAUGGAGGGGGAUAACUACUGGAAACGGUAGCUAAUACCGCAUAACGUCGCAAGACCAAAGUGGGGGACCUUCGGGCCUCAUGCCAUCAGAUGUGCCCAGAUGGGAUUAGCUAGUAGGUGGGGUAACGGCUCACCUAGGCGACGAUCCCUAGCUGGUCUGAGAGGAUGACCAGCCACACUGGAACUGAGACACGGUCCAGACUCCUACGGGAGGCAGCAGUGGGGAAUAUUGCACAAUGGGCGCAAGCCUGAUGCAGCCAUGCCGCGUGUGUGAAGAAGGCCUUCGGGUUGUAAAGCACUUUCAGCGGGGAGGAAGGCGUUAAGGUUAAUAACCUUGGCGAUUGACGUUACCCGCAGAAGAAGCACCGGCUAACUCCGUGCCAGCAGCCGCGGUAAUACGGAGGGUGCAAGCGUUAAUCGGAAUUACUGGGCGUAAAGCGCACGCAGGCGGUCUGUCAAGUCGGAUGUGAAAUCCCCGGGCUCAACCUGGGAACUGCAUUCGAAACUGGCAGGCUAGAGUCUUGUAGAGGGGGGUAGAAUUCCAGGUGUAGCGGUGAAAUGCGUAGAGAUCUGGAGGAAUACCGGUGGCGAAGGCGGCCCCCUGGACAAAGACUGACGCUCA